RNAcentral lists this ribosomal RNA (1267 nucleotides) under Enterococcus faecium EnGen0002. Its description in RNAcentral is "bacterial SSU rRNA". It matches the Rfam family "Bacterial small subunit ribosomal RNA", at positions 8 to 1247 of the family's 1533-position model. Lineage: Bacteria; Bacillati; Bacillota; Bacilli; Lactobacillales; Enterococcaceae. The record is from RNAcentral.
AGAGUUUGAUCCUGGCUCAGGACGAACGCUGGCGGCGUGCCUAAUACAUGCAAGUCGAACGCUUCUUUUUCCACCGGAGCUUGCUCCACCGGAAAAAGAGGAGUGGCGAACGGGUGAGUAACACGUGGGUAACCUGCCCAUCAGAAGGGGAUAACACUUGGAAACAGGUGCUAAUACCGUAUAACAAUCAAAACCGCAUGGUUUUGAUUUGAAAGGCGCUUUCGGGUGUCGCUGAUGGAUGGACCCGCGGUGCAUUAGCUAGUUGGUGAGGUAACGGCUCACCAAGGCCACGAUGCAUAGCCGACCUGAGAGGGUGAUCGGCCACAUUGGGACUGAGACACGGCCCAAACUCCUACGGGAGGCAGCAGUAGGGAAUCUUCGGCAAUGGACGAAAGUCUGACCGAGCAACGCCGCGUGAGUGAAGAAGGUUUUCGGAUCGUAAAACUCUGUUGUUAGAGAAGAACAAGGAUGAGAGUAACUGUUCAUCCCUUGACGGUAUCUAACCAGAAAGCCACGGCUAACUACGUGCCAGCAGCCGCGGUAAUACGUAGGUGGCAAGCGUUGUCCGGAUUUAUUGGGCGUAAAGCGAGCGCAGGCGGUUUCUUAAGUCUGAUGUGAAAGCCCCCGGCUCAACCGGGGAGGGUCAUUGGAAACUGGGAGACUUGAGUGCAGAAGAGGAGAGUGGAAUUCCAUGUGUAGCGGUGAAAUGCGUAGAUAUAUGGAGGAACACCAGUGGCGAAGGCGGCUCUCUGGUCUGUAACUGACGCUGAGGCUCGAAAGCGUGGGGAGCAAACAGGAUUAGAUACCCUGGUAGUCCACGCCGUAAACGAUGAGUGCUAAGUGUUGGAGGGUUUCCGCCCUUCAGUGCUGCAGCUAACGCAUUAAGCACUCCGCCUGGGGAGUACGACCGCAAGGUUGAAACUCAAAGGAAUUGACGGGGGCCCGCACAAGCGGUGGAGCAUGUGGUUUAAUUCGAAGCAACGCGAAAAACCUUACCAGGUCUUGACAUCCUUUGACCACUCUAGAGAUAGAGCUUCCCCUUCGGGGGCAAAGUGACAGGUGGUGCAUGGUUGUCGUCAGCUCGUGUCGUGAGAUGUUGGGUUAAGUCCCGCAACGAGCGCAACCCUUAUUGUUAGUUGCCAUCAUUCAGUUGGGCACUCUAGCAAGACUGCCGGUGACAAACCGGAGGAAGGUGGGGAUGACGUCAAAUCAUCAUGCCCCUUAUGACCUGGGCUACACACGUGCUACAAUGGGAAGUACAACGAGU